UGGGGAAUAUUGGACAAUGGGCGAAAGCCUGAUCCAGCAAUGCCGCGUGAGUGAUGAAGGCCUUAGGGUUGUAAAGCUCUUUUACCCGGGAUGAUAAUGACAGUACCGGGAGAAGAAGCCCCGGCUAACUUCGUGCCAGUAGCCGCGGUAAUACGAAGGGGGCUAGCGUUGCUCGGAAUCACUGGGCGUAAAGGGCGCGUAGGCGGAUACUUAAGUCAGGGGUGAAAGCCCGAGGCUCAACCUCGGAACUGCCUUUGAUACUGAGUAUCUUGAGACCGGUAGAGGUAAGUGGAACUGCGAGUGUAGAGGUGAAAUUCGUAGAUAUUCGCAAGAACACCAGUGGCGAAGGCGGCUUACUGGACCGGUUCUGACGCUGAGGCGCGAAAGCGUGGGGAGCAAA
RNAcentral lists this ribosomal RNA (400 nucleotides) under uncultured bacterium. RNAcentral describes it as "bacterial SSU rRNA". It matches the Rfam family "Bacterial small subunit ribosomal RNA", at positions 355 to 772 of the family's 1533-position model. The record is from RNAcentral.